GUGGUUAUUUAAUCCCAAGUAUUUUGAUGCGAGAAGGGAUGACACUUACGUAAAGAAGGAAGGGAAGGGAAGAUGACUCUCACAAGCGAUGGAGGAGUAUGAGGAGGAAAUUAUUGGCAGUUAUUGAUUUAUUCUAUUGGCAAGCCCAUGGUUGAUUAGUUGAUCGCAAUUUAUGGGAAAUGAAUGCCACACUAUGGGGAGAAGGAAGAAAAGACGACUCGCAAAUGGUGGAGAGGUAUGAGAAAGAACAUCUAGGCAUGUAAGUGGGCUGCAAGUCUUUACUCAGUGUGUACGAAGAAGGAUGAACCUAGCACCGAUGGAGCUUGCAUGUCAAAAUUAGAGGAAGACAGCAUUAAAUAUCGUUUCAAUGAUCUUAACCAA
Molecule: long non-coding RNA, 381 nt
Organism: Oryza brachyantha (malo sina)
Lineage: Eukaryota; Viridiplantae; Streptophyta; Magnoliopsida; Poales; Poaceae
Exons: 3
Source: RefSeq, a predicted model, not a curated record